Long non-coding RNA from Pleuronectes platessa (European plaice), 182 nucleotides. RefSeq lists it as uncharacterized. The transcript is spliced from 4 exons. Lineage: Eukaryota; Metazoa; Chordata; Actinopteri; Pleuronectiformes; Pleuronectidae. The record is from RefSeq and is a predicted model, not a curated record.
CACUGAGACCAGCCGUCAGCACCGAGAGAAGAAACCACCAACAUCGAACGCACAACAUUGCAAUCUUCCAGACAGGAGCACAAAUUCCAGCAGACUGAAACAAUCUGUCGUCCAACGCAGUGAAGAUGCAGUGGAGUCUGUUUCUGCUCAUUCUGAUGGGUCAGGUGUUUUUCGUCAUGUGU